CUGCACAUAACAAAGUAUGUCUGUUGGGAAUCCCACAUGAAUAAGUUAUGAAAAGAACAGUGAGUGGUGGCUUUUGUUCCCGCGCUCUGUCCGUCCUUUUGUUUCUUCUGGGCUUAUUUUCCCUUUGUUCCACUGACCUGUCAUCUUGCCAGCUUGGGUGGGUGAAUAUUGGCCACCCGUAGAGGAUCCAGUUUGACAGCUGUUUCAGAAGAAUAGGUUCAGAAAUUUGCCUUGAAGAAGAACUUCCAGAUGAAAUCACUGCAGAAAUAUUCGCGACUGAAAUUCUUGGCUUAACCAUUUCAGAAGAUUCCGGCCAGGAUGGUCAGUGAAGUUACCAGGAAUGUUUAAAGCACAAAGGACUUUGGGUGUGUGUGCAUGCACAUGUGUGUGUUUUCCAUGAGGCACUGCUUUUUAUGCAUUUCCCUCCCCCCCUCAUCUUUAGAACAUUUAGACAUUAAAGCAAGUUUCUGGUGAGCAAUGGAAUUCACAAA
RNAcentral lists this small RNA (491 nucleotides) under Pan troglodytes (chimpanzee). RNAcentral describes it as "processed transcript". The record is from RNAcentral. Lineage: Eukaryota; Metazoa; Chordata; Mammalia; Primates; Hominidae.